This is a long non-coding RNA of Diospyros lotus (date-plum), 1138 nucleotides long. RefSeq lists it as uncharacterized. The record is from RefSeq and is a predicted model, not a curated record. The transcript is spliced from 2 exons. NCBI's taxonomy places the organism in Eukaryota, Viridiplantae, Streptophyta, Magnoliopsida, Ericales, Ebenaceae.
CGUUGCGCCCACCCUACUCUUAUGGACCACCUCCUCACCUCGUCGUUGCAACCAUAUAAUAAUUAAAAUGCUAUGGAUUCCAUUCACACGCACGUUUGGACGUAUAAUGAAAUCCCCACCUCACCGUGCAUCACGUGGCCCAAUUUUCUCUUUCUAUUCUACUAAACGUCUACCCGCCAAUGAAGUGCGAAAGUCUGAAACUUAAAAAAAAAUUAUAUUUAUAAAUAAAUAGUUCAAAAUUAAUAAUUUAUAUUAUCAAGAGUAAUGAUAUGAACAACGGUCUAUGUAAAAUUGUUUGAUUUGCAUUAUACAUCUAUUUAAAAAAUAAAAUUUAUUAAACUUUCUUUCAUUUUCUUUAAGUUAAUACUUUUAUAUAGAAUGUUAAUUAUUGUUAAUUUUAAUAAAUUUAUUUAUGAAUUAAAAAACUUAAAUAUACAUCUGUUUGUGAAAAAUAUAAUCUUACAAUUGGGUUGAGAGUUAUUUUCAUUUAUAAUAAUUUAUUUGAGAAAUAAAUCGUCAACUCUCUUCAUUUAUGUACAACAUGACAAACCUAGACAGCAUUUUAUCUCUAUUUUCACCUUCCUUCUACUGCUUCCUGUUCCCAACCAUCGAAGCUAACUCCAGCGCUUGGUCCGAGGAUUGCGGGGAUGGAGCCAAAGGACUUCACCGGUGGCAAGAUUUCCAGCAGAAGAAGAGGCGGCUGGAUCAGCUGCUUCUUCAUUGCAGGGGGCAAUGAUAGGGUUCCAACUCUCCAAUGGAGGCUGGAUGUCGAACUUGAUUGUGUAUCUGACGGAGGAAUUCAAUGUGAAGAGCAUAGAUGCAGCUCAGCUUUCAAGUAUUAUCAGUUCUUUGGCCUUUCUUACUCCGGUGAUAGGGUUUUCAUAUAAAGUUAAGGAAAAAAAUUAGGCUUUUAAAAAUUAAAAAUAAACUGCAUUUAUAUUUAAGAAUACCUUAAUUUAGUCUUUUGGCACAUCACUUUGGUCAUCUUAGCCAAACAUUCAUGAUGGCGUACGUGUUGAGAAAGACCUUUAUUUUCAUUUGAAGUAAGAAUGAAUAAUGGUUGGGUGUCGUCAACCUAGCUUCUUGUGUCAUAUUCAACUGGGGGGCCAUAUAUAUAUAUACAGGACCUUUUAUGAUA